UGGGGAAUAUUGCACAAUGGGCGCAAGCCUGAUGCAGCCAUGCCGCGUGUAUGAAGAAGGCCUUCGGGUUGUAAAGUACUUUCAGCGGGGAGGAAGGGAGUAAAGUUAAUACCUUUGCUCAUUGACGUUACCCGCAGAAGAAGCACCGGCUAACUCCGUGCCAGCAGCCGCGGUAAUACGGAGGGUGCAAGCGUCAAUCGGAAUUACUGGGCGUAAAGCGCACGCAGGCGGUUUGUUAAGUCAGAUGUGAAAUCCCCGGGCUCAACCUGGGAACUGCAUCUGAUACUGGCAAGCUUGAGUCUCGUAGAGGGGGGUAGAAUUCCAGGUGUAGCGGUGAAAUGCGUAGAGAUCUGGAGGAAUACCGGUGGCGAAGGCGGCCCCCUGGACGAAGACUGACGCUCAGGUGCGAAAGCGUGGGGAGCAAACAGG
RNAcentral lists this ribosomal RNA (429 nucleotides) under Chloroflexota bacterium. Its description in RNAcentral is "Chloroflexi bacterium partial 16S ribosomal RNA". It matches the Rfam family "Bacterial small subunit ribosomal RNA", at positions 355 to 776 of the family's 1533-position model. Lineage: Bacteria; Bacillati; Chloroflexota. The record is from RNAcentral.